GGCUCAUGUAGCUCAGUUGGUAGAGCACACCCUUGGUAAGGGUGAGGUCGGCAGUUCAAAUCUGCUCAUGAGCUCCAU
This 78-nucleotide transfer RNA is filed under the name Cellvibrio japonicus Ueda107. RNAcentral's name for it is "tRNA-Thr". It matches the Rfam family "tRNA". Rfam says of the family: Transfer RNA (tRNA) molecules are approximately 80 nucleotides in length. Their secondary structure includes four short double-helical elements and three loops (D, anti-codon, and T loops). The record is from RNAcentral. Lineage: Bacteria; Pseudomonadati; Pseudomonadota; Gammaproteobacteria; Cellvibrionales; Cellvibrionaceae.